Molecule: transfer RNA, 73 nt
Filed under: Lachnospiraceae bacterium
Lineage: Bacteria; Bacillati; Bacillota; Clostridia; Lachnospirales; Lachnospiraceae
Also listed under: 1 other name
Description: tRNA-Thr
Rfam family: tRNA
About the family: Transfer RNA (tRNA) molecules are approximately 80 nucleotides in length.
Source: RNAcentral
GCUGCUGUGGCACAGUCGGUAGCGCAUCUCAUUGGUAGUGAGAAGGUCACGGGUUCGAUUCCCGUCAGUAGCU